ACCAGGAUGCAGUCACAGCAAG
RNAcentral lists this unclassified non-coding RNA (22 nucleotides) under Mus musculus (house mouse). RNAcentral's name for it is "oocyte_clustered_small_RNA11380". Lineage: Eukaryota; Metazoa; Chordata; Mammalia; Rodentia; Muridae. The record is from RNAcentral.